GUGGGGAAUAUUGCACAAUGGGCGCAAGCCUGAUGCAGCAACGCCGCGUGAGGGAUGACGGCCUUCGGGUUGUAAACCUCUUUUAGUAGGGAAGAAGCGAAAGUGACGGUACCUGCAGAAAAAGCACCGGCUAACUACGUGCCAGCAGCCGCGGUAAUACGUAGGGUGCAAGCGUUAUCCGGAAUUAUUGGGCGUAAAGAGCUCGUAGGCGGUCUGUCGCGUCUGCUGUGAAAACUGGAGGCUCAACCUCCAGCCUGCAGUGGGUACGGGCAGACUAGAGUGCGGUAGGGGAGAUUGGAAUUCCUGGUGUAGCGGUGGAAUGCGCAGAUAUCAGGAGGAACACCGAUGGCGAAGGCAGAUCUCUGGGCCGUAACUGACGCUGAGGAGCGAAAGCGUGGGGAGCGAACAGGAUUAGAUACCCGGGUAGUCC
RNAcentral lists this ribosomal RNA (430 nucleotides) under uncultured bacterium. Its description in RNAcentral is "partial 16S ribosomal RNA". It matches the Rfam family "Bacterial small subunit ribosomal RNA", at positions 354 to 796 of the family's 1533-position model. The record is from RNAcentral.